Molecule: long non-coding RNA, 5283 nt
Organism: Acanthopagrus latus (yellowfin seabream)
Lineage: Eukaryota; Metazoa; Chordata; Actinopteri; Spariformes; Sparidae
Exons: 7
Source: RefSeq, a predicted model, not a curated record
UUGUCAGUAGAGGGAGCCAGAGAACAAGACUUCAUUCAGGGACCUGCUGGUGUCACAUUGUGGUACAUGUUGAGAGGGAACUCUGUCCUGACCCGACUGGAGUACUGGACCAGACCAACUCUGGUGCCAUGAGUGGACACGUCCAGGGAGUCCACAACCUGCAGCACAGGAGGAGGUCAGAGAUAUUCAUCUGACACAGACUGAUCUCAGACCGAUGAUGAAGCUGACCUCCUGCUCCAGCCGCUGCACCUGUUGGUCCCGCAGAACCCACAGGAUCUUAAUCCUUACAGAGUGCAACCGUACAGCUGAUUUCAUAUGCAACAGAUCAUGAAUCGGAGAGUCGACUCACUGCCGCAGCUCUUGCCGUCCUCCUGCAGCAGUUGUCCCUCCGGACAGAUACAGUAAUAAGAUCCAGGAGUGCUCACACACUGGUGCUCACAGCCGUGCUCCACCGUGUUACACAGGUCCAUGUCUGCAAACACAGUCAGUAAACACUGAUUAGAUCAUAACUUAUACAUUCAGCCUGCACAGACACAUGAAACCAGUGGUGGACAUAAAGUCACGCAUGUAAUAUAGUUCCGUUCUUUACCGUCAACAUGAGAAAAGGACGACAAUGUGGCGGCUGAUGGAUAAUAACAAGAAUUCAGCUCAGUUCUGUUUAGAGACUUUUUUCAGUCAGUUCAACUCCAGAGAGGUUAUUAAUAUAAAUUCAGUGUCGGAUGCACAGGCUCACUCAUUAGUCAGACAGCUGUUUCAUGCAGUUUGUAUAAUUCUGAAGGUUUUCUUCUCAGUCAACCUAUAGACAAACAAAAUCAUCCUGAGGUAGAUUUUAAAUCAGGGAUAAAACCCUGAGAACACAUAUAUGACGAGCCGAAAGCUGAAAGAAUAUUUGUGAGUGUGAGCUUCACUGACUUGUGCAGGUCUUCUUGUCCUUGUUGAGUUUGAAUCCUUUGUUGCAGUCGCAGGUGAAGACACCAGGAGCGCUGAUGCAGAUCUGCUCACAGUCGUGCUUCCCCUCGGCACACAGAGUGUAUCCUUGGUUGCAGUCGCAGGUGAAGACGCCCGGCGCACUGACGCAGAUUUGUUCACAGUCGUGUUUCCCCUCAGCACACAGGUCAAUGGCUGAAUAACACACACACAUACUGCGUUAAAGUGUGUGUGUGUGUGUGUGUGUGUGUGUGUGUGUUUUGAGGACAUUGUCAUUUUAAUGCUCUGGUAAAAAUAGAUUUUCCAGGGGAAAGUUUUCAGUGCCAAAGAGUUUUUCAGUUGUUGGAUGCAGUUUUAACAGCGAGUCCAAGCAGAAGGCAGGUCAGCUGCUUCUACACUCGUCCGUCUCACACACAUUUGUCUGUAGUUCUGUUGUUGAUAGUUGAUUUAAAUGAAAACAAACAAGUCAUUUACUCGAAUAACUAAAAUCAUGUAUUUGUUUUGAUUGAAUUAAUGUUGAUGUAAGAAUGAUAUUCUGUAAAAGACGAGACUAAGAAACGCUGAUGUGGGUUCCAGUCGCUUUAUGCAAAUGGAAAAUGAUACUUCUAGAUGCACCUGGAGGGAUUUCUUUUAACUGUGUGUGUGUGUGUGUGUGUGUGUGAGUGUGUGUUGGUGUGUGUACACCUGUGUAUGUGUGUAACUGCAUGACGGCCCGACUAACGUGUGCAGGUCUUCUCGUCCUUGUUCAGAGUGUAUCCUUGGUUGCAGUCGCAGGUGAAGACGCCCGGCGCACUGACGCAGAUUUGUUCACAGUCGUGUUUCCCCUCAGCACACAGGUCAAUGGCUGAAUAACACACACACAUACCGCGUUAAAGUGUGUGUGUGUGUGUGUGUGUGUGUGUGUGUGUGUGUGUGUGUUGACGAUAUUGUCAUUUUAAUUCUCUGGUAUAAAAAUAUCUUCCAGGGAAAUGUUUUCAUUUCUUUCUCUUCAUGUAAACGAGCCAAAGAGCCUUUUUCAGUUCCUGGAUUCAGUUUUAGCAGCGUGUCCACACAUGAGGCAGCUCAGCUGCUUCUACACUCGUCCGCAUCACGCACACUCAGGGGAACCAGCCGUAUUACAUUUCUGUUUAUUUCUAGAAAUUAGAGGAGGAUCAUGGAAACCAUCUUCCUUUUUCUUCAGGUGGAUUCCUUUUUUAAUAAUAACUGUGACUCUCAGAGGGACAACAUGCGGACUGUUACUCAUCAUCUUGUUUACCUAAAUGAGUGUGUAUUCAAAUGUAAACCAGCUGUUUUCAAGAAGGCCAGAACAGCUGAAGCAGGAGGCGGUGAUGUUUUAUUUCUCCUCACAUACCUGCUGUGGUAUUUGGGUUAAACUGGGCGACACAAUUACACGAUGUGUUACUUUGAAGAUCUGUGUGGCUUACAGCGAGUCUUUGGUUGUAAAUUGUGCUUCUUUCAUAGUUUUCUGUCAACAAGAUCUCGUACAGCAGGUGUUGCUGCCUCUGAGUGUGUGUAUGUGUGUGUGUGUGUGUGUGUGUGUCUGUGUGUGUCAGGGUGCAUGCAUGAAUAUGUACUGACAUGUUGGACGUGUGUAUUCAACUGCAUACAUCAAGCUUGUGUGUGAGCGAGACUUUAGAAACCCUCUUUUGUUGCUGCAUUUAAAUGAAAUGGGUUUGCAGAAAAUAGUUUUUAUUCGGAAAUGAGCUUCCAGGAGGGCUGAGGCUUUAGUUGUUUAGUUAAUGAUAAACAUCAUCAUGACCACAGAAACACUGAGUUGUUUCUGUGAAGCAGGCAGAUUACUGUUAAAAGUCUUUUAUAUAAAUAUUGAGGAACAGAAUCAGUUUUCUGUUACAGUUGUAGUUUCUGUCAACAGUUUAAUCAGAGGUAAAGUCACAGCUGUUUGCAUGGCAACAGUAAAAACAGCAGAUGUUUUGUGACAUCAGCAGACCUGUAAAUAAAUACGUUUUCAACAGGGAUUAUGAUUUUCAAGAGUUCUUGUUUUCUCAGGUAAGAUGCUGCAGUUUAAGCAGUUCAGAUGUCCUAGCUGACAGAAUGACAGAAUCAGUAGCACCCUCUUUCAUUUCUUGACUUUGUGACAUCACAUUACAUCACCAUGUCACACUUUUGCAUAAUUUUUGCUUAGUUUGGCAUGUAAGAAUUAAUUUAGCACAGCUGCCUUGUUGUCAGCGACGCCGGCUCAGGCAUCUGUCAGCUGACCAAUCAGGAGAGACUGGGUAUUCGGGGGGUGGGGCUUAAAGAUACAGGGGCUAAAACUUAAACUGGACAUGUGUUCUUUGAGCAUUAAAGUGUGUAAACCUAUUUUAUUAGAAACCAAAAAUAAAAUGAGCAGAAUAUGUCUGUUUGGUAUUCUUAGCCUUGGCCCGUUUACUCACUGUUUAUUGCUCAGGUUGAGCAUGUUUAUAAUGGUGAUGCAGUCAAAAGAUAACCUGGAGCAUUUGAAAAUAACGGAGAUUUUAAAUGGUCCUGUGACGACCCUCAGAUAAGAAGGGGAAACAGACAGCGGACAGGUGAAGGAGAGGGAGCCAGUAAAUCUCAACAAAGCUUUGUUUAAGAUUCACAUCAACAGCGUUGUAGCCAGAGAUGGAAAUACUUCAAAUGUAUCUCCUGAUGUUUCCAGACAGAGAGAGGAAAUGUGCAAUGUUUCUCUGUUCUGAGGUUCUUUAGAGAAUUUAAACUAAAGACUAAAUGAUCCUAAUUGAAUGAUACAUGUGUGUUCAAGGCUCCAGCAGCAGCAGCAGACAACGUAGUUCUGUUUUAAUCUGUAUCAUUUACGACGACUCAUCUUUGUACUACUCACCCUGGCAGGUCUUGCCGUCGUCCAGCAGCCUGUAGCCGUCGUUACAGCGGCAGUGAUAGCCGUUGAGCACACUCACACACUCAUGAUCACAACUGUGGUUCCCAAACGAACAGUAGUCGAUCACUGAGGGGAGGGAAGCAGCGAGGCCGUAAGCAGCAGAGCAAACAGCAGCGAAAUGUGCGGGAUCAGUGCAUCUAUGUUCCCUCUGUGUCUCAGGAAAUCUUACCUGGAAUGAGCCGGGGUUCUUAAAGGAACAGUUCACCCCCAAAAAAUGAUUUUGUCAAGUCACCAUCUCCUCACUGUCAUGUUGAUGUAAAGUCAGGUGAAGUGUCGUAGUCCACAAAACGUUUCUGGAGCUUCACAUCAAAACAUCAUGCAGCAGUCACCUAAACAACUGAAGUAGCUGGAGACUUUAUUUAAAACAGCAAAAAUAAUCCAAAAAAUCAUAAGAUGACUCUGGCAUUGGUCUCUAGAAACCCUGAGAUCCCAAAUGUAUCUGAGAAGAUGUUUUGUACGUCCUUGACACGUGGCUGAGCUCAUGCAAGGUCUUCAGACUGCUACAGUGAAGAUUCCUGCAGGACAGGGGUGUAAAUAACAUCUUCUCUGAUCAAUUUGGGAUCUUGGGGCUUCAGGAGACUUUGAAUACAACCAGCGAGCUGUAUGGAGCCUUUUUAUGUCUCUGGUUGUUUUUUCAAUUUUAAAACAAGUCUCCAGUUACUUCACUUGUUUCGGAGAAUGCUGCAUGAUGUUUUGCUGUGAAGCUCCAGGAACGUUUCUUUGGACUAUGAAACUUCACCUGACUCAGAAGAUAAAUGAACUGUUCCCUCAAGUCGAUGUGCUAUUAAAGCUGCAUGACUCAUUUGCUUUUAAAGUAACUGCAGACGCAAAAUUACAAUAAAAGUUUUUCCAGUUUAAUAAUUACAACAAGGCCAGCAGACUGCAGAUUAUAUGAAGGUUUUUAAAAGAGGUUCUUCUGAUUGUGUCCAGUUGAGGGUUUUCAGCUGGAUGUAAAGGAACAUAAAGGAUGUGUUGUUUAACAAAUCCAAACGACAGCAGGAGGAACAUAGUGCAGACCCACACUCAGCUUCAUGAAGCAGCAGAAAUCAAGUCUGAGCAGCUCAAAGGUCAGAAUCCAUCUCAGCAUGAAUUCAAGCACAAUUUGUAAUACAAAGCCAGCAGCUAUCAGCAGUUACUACAGUUUCUACAGGUGUUUGUUUAUUUGUGUCUUUUGUGCAUGCUUGUGUGUGUGUGGUGUGUGUGCGUGUGUGUACGUGUGUGAGACUAACUGGAGCAGGUCUUCUUGUCGUCGUUCAGUUUGUAUCCCUUGUUGCAGUCGCAGGUGAAGGAACCUGGAGAGCUGACGCAGAUCUGUUCACAGUCGUGUUUCCCCUCCGCACACAGAGUGUAUCCCGGCAGACAGAGGCAGUGGAAGGAGCCCGGGGAGCUCUCACAGAUGUGCUCACAGCCGUGGUCCGACUCCAGACACAGAUCCAUACCUGCAGCACAGAUCACGUCAACCUCAGAGUCCAAAAUACACG